This 484-nucleotide ribosomal RNA is filed under the name uncultured bacterium. RNAcentral's name for it is "partial 16S ribosomal RNA". It matches the Rfam family "Bacterial small subunit ribosomal RNA", at positions 30 to 507 of the family's 1533-position model. The record is from RNAcentral.
AUUGAACGCUGGCGGCAUGCCUAACACAUGCAAGUCGAACGAUGAUUAAGAGCUUGCUCUUAUUAUUAGUGUCGGACGGGUGAGUAAUGUAUAGGGAUCUGCCUGUUAGUGGGUGACAACAGCCUGAAACGGCUGCUAAUACCGCAUACUCUCUACGGAGGAAAGUGGGGGACCCUCGGGCCUCACGCUAACAGAUGAACCUAUAUUGGAUUAGCUAGUUGGUAGGGUAAAGGCCUACCAAGGCGACGAUCCAUAGCUGGUUUGAGAGAAUGAUCAGCCACACUGGGACUGAGACACGGCCAAGACUCCUACGGGAGGCAGCAGUGGGGAAUAUUGGACAAUGGGCGCAAGCCUGAUACAGCAAUGCCGCGUGUGUGAAGAAGGCCUUCGGGUUGUAAAGCACUUUAAGUUGGGAGGAAAAGCUGAGGGUUAAUAGCCUUUAGUGUUGACGUUACCAACAGAAUAAGCACCGGCUAACUCCGUG